Priapulus caudatus is the source of this 121-nucleotide long non-coding RNA. RefSeq lists it as uncharacterized. The record is from RefSeq and is a predicted model, not a curated record. The transcript has 2 exons. Lineage: Eukaryota; Metazoa; Priapulida; Priapulimorpha; Priapulimorphida; Priapulidae.
CAAGCAGAAGCGCAGGGAAGUCAUGUGUCGCGUUCGUGCCCUCGGCAUAUACAUUCUGCUGCUGAUUUCGUCAUCGGCGCAUCUGACGUUGGGUGGCUAUGGCGACGACAACGACUACGGA